GAGGAGGCGCGAAGGCGGGAGAGGCAGCCCAGCCUCCUGGUGCCUGCAGCCCUGGGCUGUGCCUCUGGAGUCCGGCGCCGCUGGUGAACUUUGCGGCAUACUGGAUCUCUUUGGACACUUUUACUCAAGGAAGACAGCAGACUAAAUGGAAGCCCCCUGUAGCUGAUAUCCAGAAACUAAAAACUUUCUCUCAAGACCUUUGUAGGUUCUCACAGUGGUAUAUGGAGUACACUCUUAAAACACAGCUACAGAUAAAGAUAGAUAUUUGUACGUGAUGUUUUUCAAGGCUGAAAAACAUUCCAGGUUUUGUGUAACCAGAUUUGACAAUUGA
Non-coding RNA from Lonchura striata (white-rumped munia), 331 nucleotides. The record is from RefSeq and is a predicted model, not a curated record. NCBI's taxonomy places the organism in Eukaryota, Metazoa, Chordata, Aves, Passeriformes, Estrildidae.